GAACGCGAAGAACCUUACCAGGCCUUGACAUCCUAGGAACCCUGAAUGAAAGUCGGGGGUGCCCGCAAGGGAACCUAGAGACAGGUGCUGCAUGGCUGUCGUCAGCUCGUGUCGUGAGAUGUUGGGUUAAGUCCCGCAACGAGCGCAACCCUUGUCCUUAGUUGCUAACGGGUAAGCCGAGCUCUCUAGGGAGACUGCCCGCGAAAGCGGGAGGAAGGCGGGGAUGACGUCUAGUCCGCAUGGCCCUUACGGCCUGGGCGACACACGUGCUACAAUGCCCGGCACAGAGCGCUGCCACAUCGCAAGAUGGAGCGAAUCGCCUAAAUCCGGGCUCAGUUCGGAUUGGGGUCUGCAACCCGACCCCAUGAAGCUGGAAUCGCUAGUAAUCGCGGAUCAGCCAUGCCGCGGUGAAUACGUUCCCGGGUCUUGUACACACC
Molecule: ribosomal RNA, 437 nt
Filed under: uncultured bacterium
Lineage: Bacteria
Description: bacterial SSU rRNA
Rfam family: Bacterial small subunit ribosomal RNA
Source: RNAcentral